UGGGGAAUAUUGGACAAUGGGCGCAAGCCUGAUCCAGCAAUGCCGCGUGUGUGAAGAAGGCCUGCGGGUUGUAAAGCACUUUAAGCAGGAAAGAAAGGCGGGAGGUUAAUACCCUUCUGCUGUGACGUUACCUGCAGAAUAAGCACCGGCUAACUCCGUGCCAGCAGCCGCGGUAAUACGGAGGGUGCGAGCGUUAAUCGGAAUUACUGGGCGUAAAGCGCGCGUAGGCGGUUUGCUAAGUCCGCUGUGAAAGCCCUGGGCUUAACCUGGGAACUGCAGUGGAUACUGGUGAGCUAGAGUAUGGUAGAGGGUAGUGGAAUUUCCGGUGUAGCAGUGAAAUGCGUAGAGAUCGGAAGGAACACCAGUGGCGAAGGCGGCUAUCUGGACCAAUACUGACGCU
Molecule: ribosomal RNA, 400 nt
Filed under: uncultured bacterium
Lineage: Bacteria
Description: bacterial SSU rRNA
Rfam family: Bacterial small subunit ribosomal RNA
Source: RNAcentral